Long non-coding RNA from Silurus meridionalis, 1178 nucleotides. RefSeq lists it as uncharacterized. Lineage: Eukaryota; Metazoa; Chordata; Actinopteri; Siluriformes; Siluridae. The record is from RefSeq and is a predicted model, not a curated record. The transcript is spliced from 2 exons.
UGUGUGUGUGUGUGUGUGUGUGUGUGUGUGUGUGUGUGUGUGUGUGUGUGUGUGUAUAUAAGUGUGGUGCCAAUAAAAGCUUUUAGUUGUCAUUCCUGCGCUCUGUUGCUGUUCUCCUCAACUCAGCGAGCGCAGACAGUUUCCACUUCCACAGUAUUGAAUUAAAUAAAAACUCCUAUUUCAUCAACACGAUGAUUAUGAGGCAGCGAGGCUCCGCUUUUUAAAUUGAAGCCAUUAGAACCUCAUCGCUAGAUGUUUGUGUGUUUGAGAAUAGUGCUCCAGAUGUCCCUUCAUGUCCCAUGAGAUGCUCCUGUUUCAGUAAUCCAGACAUGGUCCAGGCACGAGGACUUCACAAAGCAAUUACCAUUUUUAAUCUCCUAUUUGGAGUGUGUGUGUGUGUGUGUGUGUGUGCGCUUUAACACUCCCUGUGUGACCUUUGCCCUCUUAUGGGCCUCAAAGACCUCUCCAGCUGUCAUGUGGAAAGUGUCUGGUGGAAAUCAGGAAUUUAUCUUCUUUCUUUCUUUUAAUAAAGUGUUAUUUUAUCUGUAGCAUAAUAUCAGACUUUCUGUUUCUGCAUUCAUUAAUUGAUGUAGGAUUUAUUUUGCUAUAAUUCCUGCAUCUUCUUACGUGACUCUGUCAGAUCUAAAUUCGCCCGAAACUAAUUUCAGGAAUUUGUGUUUAGAAUCUAAUUAUAAAAAAAAAUAAAUGAUGUGGAAAUACAGUAAAUGAGACUAAAUAUUGUGUGUUAAUUUCAGGCCUAUACAAACAGCACCAUUGGUCUACUUAUGUGUCUGUAUCUCUAUAUAUCUUCUAAUAUGUUUGUCUCUUUCUGUACAUCUAUGUUGGUCUAUCUGCUUGUCUUUUUCUUUCUUUCUCUCUCCCCUUCUCUCUCUCCAUCUACAUGACCUAAAACUGUUUUUUUUUUUUUCAUUGUAUUUUUUUGUCCUAACAAUAGAGGUGGGUAUUCCAGUUUCUUUCACUGAGUCAAAUCAUUCGACUCAGCUUACUUAAGAGUCGAGUCUUUGGCUUAUCGUCAUUUUUCUCCCACCUACACUUGACAGAUGACACAUUUUUGCCUUGUGAUUUAUUUCAUAAAAACAAAUCUUCUUUAAAAAUCUCAUUUAUUUUUUCUUUUCAUUAUAAUAAACGAUGUCGGAUUGUUGCGACUUGCAGACAGA